ACUAUUUUGGCAGAAAAGUGUCAUGAAUUUAGAAUUCAUAAAUAUAGGAAUACCCUAUAAAUAGUAC
This 67-nucleotide transfer RNA is filed under the name Trithemis dejouxi. Its description in RNAcentral is "tRNA-Leu". Lineage: Eukaryota; Metazoa; Arthropoda; Insecta; Odonata; Libellulidae. The record is from RNAcentral.